Long non-coding RNA from Lolium rigidum, 382 nucleotides. RefSeq lists it as uncharacterized. The transcript is spliced from 2 exons. NCBI's taxonomy places the organism in Eukaryota, Viridiplantae, Streptophyta, Magnoliopsida, Poales, Poaceae. The record is from RefSeq and is a predicted model, not a curated record.
GCUGAUAAAUCGGAAUAAGAGCCGAGGGACGCCGGUGACGACGCCCGGCUUGGCAUAUUGGUCGUGUCGCAGGCCUCCCGGGGUGAAUCGCCGACGGCCUCCCCACCUUAUUGGGUUCCAGGAACAUAUUGGUCUUGUGAUAUUCCAAGUCUGUAUUUUGGCAUGUCUUCUUUGGUUUCACAAACUUGUAUGAUUCGCCUAAAAUGACAUGAACGCAUCAUUCAAAAUGGUAGUGAUGAAAUGCAGUGACAAUUCAGACGUCCUCAUAACGUUACUGGGUCUAAUUCAGCAAAUUAGAAACAUGCAUGUAAUCAUAGUAUCUAAAAGGAAAACAAGUAGAAGCACCAUGUAAUACAAGAUCUUCCUUGGAUUAUUUGUUUUA